GACGAACGCUGGCGGCGUGCUUAACACAUGCAAGUCGAACGGUAAGACCCUUCGGGGUACACGAGUGGCGAACGGGUGAGUAACACGUGGGUGAUCUGCCCUGCACUUCGGGAUAAGCCUGGGAAACUGGGUCUAAUACCGGAUAGGACCACUGCCUGCAUGGGUGGUGGUGGAAAGCUUUUGCGGUGUGGGAUGGGCCCGCGGCCUAUCAGCUUGUUGGUGGGGUGAUGGCCUACCAAGGCGACGACGGGUAGCCGGCCUGAGAGGGUGACCGGCCACACUGGGACUGAGAUACGGCCCAGACUCCUACGGGAGGCAGCAGUGGGGAAUAUUGCACAAUGGGCGCAAGCCUGAUGCAGCGACGCCGCGUGAGGGAUGACGGCCUUCGGGUUGUAAACCUCUUUCAGCACCGACGAGGCGCAAGUGACGGUAGGUGCAGAAGAAGGACCGGCCAACUACGUGCCAGCCGCCGCGGUAA
This 478-nucleotide ribosomal RNA is filed under the name uncultured bacterium. RNAcentral's name for it is "partial 16S ribosomal RNA". It matches the Rfam family "Bacterial small subunit ribosomal RNA", at positions 28 to 523 of the family's 1533-position model. The record is from RNAcentral.